Molecule: ribosomal RNA, 1110 nt
Filed under: Massilia mucilaginosa
Lineage: Bacteria; Pseudomonadati; Pseudomonadota; Betaproteobacteria; Burkholderiales; Oxalobacteraceae
Description: partial 23S ribosomal RNA
Rfam family: Bacterial large subunit ribosomal RNA
Source: RNAcentral
GAAGGACGUAGUAGCUUGCGAUAAGCUGCGGGGAGCUAGCAAACAAGCUUUGAUCCGCAGAUUUCCGAAUGGGGAAACCCGGCCUUUACAGGUCAUUGCAUACUGAAUACAUAGGUAUGCAAAGCGAACGCGGCGAACUGAAACAUCUAAGUAGCUGCAGGAAAAUAAAUCAACCGAGAUUCCCAAAGUAGUGGCGAGCGAAAUGGGAUGAGCCUGCACGUUUUAGCAUGACGGAUAGUAGAAACCACUGGAAAUUGGUGCCAUAGAGGGUGAUAGCCCCUUAUACGAAAUUCGAUGUGUGGAACUAAGCGUGCGACAAGUAGGGCGGGACACGAGAAAUCCUGUCUGAAUAUGGGGGGACCAUCCUCCAAGGCUAAAUACUCGUAAUCGACCGAUAGUGAACCAGUACCGUGAGGGAAAGGCGAAAAGAACCCCGGAAGGGGAGUGAAAUAGAUCCUGAAACCGUGUGCAUACAAACAGUAGGAGCGGACUUGUUCCGUGACUGCGUACCUUUUGUAUAAUGGGUCAGCGACUUACAUUCAGUGGCAAGGUUAACCGUAUAGGGAAGCCGUAGAGAAAUCGAGUCCGAACAGGGCGACAGUCGCUGGGUGUAGACCCGAAACCAAGUGAUCUACUCAUGGCCAGGAUGAAGGUGCGGUAACACGCCCUGGAGGUCCGAACCCACUAAUGUUGAAAAAUUAGGGGAUGAGCUGUGGGUAGGGGUGAAAGGCUAAACAAACUUGGAAAUAGCUGGUUCUCUCCGAAAACUAUUUAGGUAGUGCCUCAAGUAUCACCAUCGGGGGUAGAGCACUGUUAUGGCUAGGGGUUCAUUGCGAAUUACCAAACCAUUGCAAACUCCGAAUACCGAUGAGUGCGAGCUUGGGAGACAGACGUCGGGUGCUAACGUCCGGCGUCAAGAGGGAAACAACCCAGACCGCCAGCUAAGGUCCCAAAGAUUGGCUAAGUGGAAAACGAAGUGGGAAGGCUAAAACAGUCAGGAUGUUGGCUUAGAAGCAGCCAUCAUUUAAAGAAAGCGUAAUAGCUCACUGAUCGAGUCGUCCUGCGCGGAAGAUGUAACGGGGCUAAGCCAGUCACCGAAGCUGCGGAUAU